Molecule: long non-coding RNA, 542 nt
Filed under: Nicotiana benthamiana
Lineage: Eukaryota; Viridiplantae; Streptophyta; Magnoliopsida; Solanales; Solanaceae
Description: long non-coding RNA (NBEN_LNC018213)
Source: RNAcentral
AUGAACGUACGAAACAUAUCGAGGUGGAUUGCCAUUUUCUUCGGGACUUGUUGCUUUCUGGUUUUAUCAAGUUGCUUCAUGUGCCUACUUCUCGCCAGCUGGCCGACUUGCUCACCAAGCCCCUGCCUGGUACUUUACUUCUUCCGCUACUCACCAAGUUGCAGGUGGUUUCCCCCCCCCCCCAACUUGAGGGGUGGUGUUGAGAUACGAGAUGCUACAUGAUUUAGCUUUAUAUAUACUUGUACAUUUUGUGUAUACUCAGUGUAUAUUGUAGAUAUAUUUCCGGCAUUGGGUUGUAACUGGGCUGUGAUGAUUUAUGUGUCUGAGCCCAAUGUCCAUUAUUUAAUUUUGGGCCGGAUCACCCGAUCCGACCUGGGUUGUAACUGGGCUGUGAUGAUUUAUGUGUCUGAGCCCAAUGUCCACUAUUUAAUUUUGGUACGGAUCACCCGAUCCGACCCGUCCAUUUGUAAUUAGUAUAAAUGUAGGUGAGAUAUUUUCUCACCUACCGAGAUUCAUUUUCCUUCACUCAUUUUCUGUAAUAA